AGUGAACGCUGGCGGUAGGCCUAACACAUGCAAGUCGAACGGCAGCACAGUAAGAGCUUGCUCUUACGGGUGGCGAGUGGCGGACGGGUGAGGAAUACAUCGGAAUCUACUUUUUCGUGGGGGAUAACGUAGGGAAACUUACGCUAAUACCGCAUACGACCUACGGGUGAAAGCAGGGGAUCUUCGGACCUUGCGCGAUUGAAUGAGCCGAUGUCGGAUUAGCUAGUUGGCGGGGUAAAGGCCCACCAAGGCGACGAUCCGUAGCUGGUCUGAGAGGAUGAUCAGCCACACUGGAACUGAGACACGGUCCAGACUCCUACGGGAGGCAGCAGUGGGGAAUAUUGGACAGUGGGCGCAAGCCUGAUCCAGCCAUACCGCGUGGGUGAAGAGGCCUUCGGGUUGCAAAGCCCUUUUGUUGGGAAAGAAAAGCAGCAGGUUAAUACCCCGCUGUUCUGACGGUACCCAAAGAAUAAGCACCGGCUAACUUCGUG
Molecule: ribosomal RNA, 491 nt
Filed under: uncultured bacterium
Lineage: Bacteria
Description: partial 16S ribosomal RNA
Rfam family: Bacterial small subunit ribosomal RNA
Source: RNAcentral